CCUACGGGAGGCAGCAGUGGGGAAUAUUGCACAAUGGGGGAAACCCUGAUGCAGCGACGCCGCGUGAGUGAAGCAGUAUUUCGGUAUGUAAAGCUCUAUCAGCAGGGAAGAAAAUGACGGUACCUGAUUAAGAAGCCCCGGCUAACUACGUGCCAGCAGCCGCGGGAAUACGUAGGGGGCAAGCGUUAUCCGGAUUUACUGGGGUUAAAGGGAGCGUAGACGGCAGCACAAGUCUGGAGUGAAAUGCCGGGGCUUAACCCCGGAACUACUUUGGAAACUGUGCAGCUAGAGUGCAGGAGAGGUAAGUGGAAUUCCUAGUGUAGCGGUGAAAUGCGUAGAUAUUAGGAGGAACACCAGUGGCGAAGGCGGCUUACUGGACUGUAACUGACGUUGAGGCUCGAAAGCGUGGGGAGCAAACAGGAUUAGAUACCGAGUAGUC
Molecule: ribosomal RNA, 439 nt
Filed under: uncultured bacterium
Lineage: Bacteria
Description: partial 16S ribosomal RNA
Rfam family: Bacterial small subunit ribosomal RNA
Source: RNAcentral